RNAcentral lists this ribosomal RNA (424 nucleotides) under uncultured cyanobacterium. RNAcentral describes it as "bacterial SSU rRNA". It matches the Rfam family "Bacterial small subunit ribosomal RNA", at positions 356 to 795 of the family's 1533-position model. The record is from RNAcentral. Lineage: Bacteria; Bacillati; Cyanobacteriota.
GGGGAAUUUUCCGCAAUGGGCGAAAGCCUGACGGAGCAAUGCCGCGUGGAGGAGGAAGGCCCGAGGGUUGUAAACUCCUUUUCUCAGAAAAGAAGAUCUGACGGUAUCUGAGGAAUAAGCAUCGGCUAACUCCGUGCCAGCAGCCGCGGUAAGACGGAGGAUGCAAGCGUUAUCCGGAAUGAUUGGGCGUAAAGCGUCUGUAGGUGGUUUAUUAAGUCUGCUGUUAAAGCACAGGGCUCAACCCUGUAUAGGCGGUAGAAACUGGUAGGCUUGAGUAUGGUAGGGGUAGAGGGAAUUCCCGAUGUAGUGGUGAAAUGCGUUGAUAUCGGGAAGAACACCAAAGGCGAAAGCACUCUGCUGGGCCAAUACUGACACUAAGAGACGAAAGCUAGGGGAGNCAAUGGGAUUAGAUACCCCAGUAGUC